CAGGGGCAGCACAAGGAGCAAUCUGAGGUGGCGACGGCGCACGGGUGAGUAACACGUAUGCAACCUGCCUGUAAGCGGGGAAUAACCCGUUGAAAGACGGACUAAUACCGCAUAAUACUAAAUUACUGCAAUGGUAAUUUAUUUAAACAUUUAUGGCUUACAGAUGGGCAUGCGCAUGAUUAGCUAGUUGGAGAGGUAACGGCUCCCCAAGGCAACGAUCAUUAGGGGUUCUGAGAGGAAGGUCCCCACACUGGUACUGAGACACGGACCAGACUCCUACGGGAGGCAGGCAGUGAGGAAUAUUGGUCAAUGGACGAGAGUCUGAACCAGCCAAGUCGCGUGCAGGAAGAAUGUCCUAAUGGAUUGUAAACUGCUUUUGCAGGGGGAAUAAAGUGCAUCACGUUGUGAUGUUUUGUAUGUACUCUGCGAAUAAGGAAUCGGCUAACUCCGUGCCAGCAGCAGC
RNAcentral lists this ribosomal RNA (463 nucleotides) under uncultured bacterium. RNAcentral describes it as "bacterial SSU rRNA". It matches the Rfam family "Bacterial small subunit ribosomal RNA", at positions 63 to 518 of the family's 1533-position model. The record is from RNAcentral.